Molecule: ribosomal RNA, 253 nt
Filed under: uncultured bacterium
Lineage: Bacteria
Description: partial 16S ribosomal RNA
Rfam family: Bacterial small subunit ribosomal RNA
Source: RNAcentral
UACGUAGGUGGCAAGCGUUGUCCGGAUUUACUGGGCGUAAAGCGCGUGUAGGCGGCUUUGCAAGUCGGGUGUGAAAGCCCUCAGCUCAACUGAGGAAGUGCGCCCGAAACUGCAGAGCUUGAGUACCGGAGAGGAUGGCGGAAUUCCCCAAGUAGAGGUGAAAUUCGUAGAUAUGGGGAGGAACACCGGUGGCGAAGGCGGCCAUCUGGACGGAUACUGACGCUGAGACGCGAAAGCGUGGGUAGCAAACAGG